This 66-nucleotide transfer RNA is filed under the name marine eukaryotic metagenome. It matches the Rfam family "tRNA". Rfam says of the family: Transfer RNA (tRNA) molecules are approximately 80 nucleotides in length. Their secondary structure includes four short double-helical elements and three loops (D, anti-codon, and T loops). The record is from RNAcentral.
AGAGUAGCUCAGUCGGUAGAGCAUCAGCCUUCCAAGCUGAGGGUCGCCGGUUCGAAACCGGUCUCU